Rattus norvegicus (Norway rat) is the source of this 69-nucleotide non-coding RNA. Lineage: Eukaryota; Metazoa; Chordata; Mammalia; Rodentia; Muridae. The record is from Rfam.
GGGGGUUUAGCUCAGUGGUAGAGCGCUUGCCUAGGAAGCGCAAGGCCCUGGGUUCGGUCCCCAGCUCCG